This 756-nucleotide ribosomal RNA is filed under the name uncultured bacterium. RNAcentral describes it as "bacterial SSU rRNA". It matches the Rfam family "Bacterial small subunit ribosomal RNA", at positions 8 to 796 of the family's 1533-position model. The record is from RNAcentral.
AGAGUUUGAUCAUGGCUCAGAAUCAACGCUGGCGGCGCGCUUAACACAUGCAAGUCGCACGAGAAAGUGGAGCAAUCCAUGAGUACAGUGGCGUACGGGUGAGUAACACGUGGGUAAUCUACCUCUUAGUGGGGAAUAACCCUGGGAAACCGGGGCUAAUACCGCAUAAGCUCGAGAGAGGAAAGCAGCAAUGCGCUGAGAGAGGAGCCCGCGGCCGAUUAGCUAGUUGGUAGGGUAAAAGCCUACCAAGGCAAAGAUCGGUAGCCGGCCUGAGAGGGCACACGGCCACACUGGCACUGAAACACGGGCCAGACUCCUACGGGAGGCAGCAGUGGGGAAUCUUGCACAAUGGGGGCAACCCUGAUGCAGCGACGCCGCGUGAGCGAUGAAGCCCUUCGGGGUGUAAAGCUCUUUCGGCAGGGAAGAUUAUGACGGUACCUGCAGAAGCAGCUGCGGCUAACUACGUGCCAGCAGCCGCGGUAAUACGUAGGCAGCGAGCGUUGUUCGGAGUUACUGGGCGUAAAGGGUGUGUAGGCGGUUGUUUAAGUUUGGUGUGAAAUCUCCCGGCUCAACUGGGAGGGUGCGCCGAAUACUGAAUGACUAGAGUGCGGGAGAGGAGAGUGGAAUUCCUGGUGUAGCGGUGAAAUGCGUAGAUAUCAGGAGGAACACCGGCGGUGUAGACGGCUCUCUGGACCGUAACUGACGCUGAGACACGAAAGCGUGGGUAGCAAACAGGAUUAGAUACCCUAGUAGUCC